CCAGCUGAAGUUCAUCACUUUGACGCCACUGUAUCUGCUGAAUAUAUAAGCAGAGCAGGAGCAAACUGUUAUGUACAUAAACACACCCAAAGUCUCUCCCCCUCCCAGCUAGCUGUCAGGGAAGCAUUCAUUCAGACCCUGCUUACAAACAUAUUCCUUUAGAAACAAAUUCAAUUGUCAUCCCUCCUGAGUUAGACUAGAGGUAAACUUCUCUUCCUCCUGCAUUAAUAUCCAUCAGUGACCGUCUUGUUUUUCAUGAUUGUCAAUCACCAGGGUUGAAGCCAGCCUGGACAUGUUACCUGGGCAUGUAUCAACAAGUAGUGCUUGAAGGUUACACAUAAACAAUAAGAUUUGUACAAAUAUCAAGUGGAAAUUAGUUAGAUAAAUAAGAACUAUCAGUUGCUAUUGAUUAAAUUAAAUAACCAGACAAUAUAGCCUAACUUUUCACAAACCCCCAUGAUUUUUUACAACAGUUCCUGUGGCAAACUGACAAGCCUACACAUCGAAGUACAUUUCAGAGGCUGUCUUUAUCUCUGAAAGAGCUUGAAACUUUUGUUUGUUUCUUUGAAUUGGAAUGGAAUCUCAAAACAGGUGGAACAGUUGCCAUGAAUCAGAUCCCAGGUCCAUCUAAUUGAGUACCCUGUGUCUGACAGUAGCCAACACCAGCUGCUUCAGAGGAAGGUGCACAAAUCAUUGCAAUACACAGUUUUGGAAUAACUUGCACACAGACAGAGACGACAUACCACAGCAAGCAUGGAGCCCGCUCAGCUCACUGUCACCAUAUGUCUCCUGGGUGCUGCUGGCAGACGUGGUACUGCAGUGCUACACAGCAGCAUCCCCUUGCCUUGCCUUGCCUUGCCUUGCGGACAACAGAUGGUGCAAUACGACUGUUAACCGUCGUCGUCAUCCCGUGGGUGCUCCUGGCCAGCCUCGGUGAGGUCGGUCGGGGGCGCCUGGACAAAAAUGGGAAUGACUCCAGGUCAUUCUCUUCUUUAAGUUUCAUCUAAUGGAGAUUCAGUCCUGCCUAGAAUAUCAUGCCAGCUGGAGGCUUCUGCCUCAGGCUGCUCUCCCAGUCGGCAGCACCGCGUGGUCGCACCUACCCCAGCCUACCCCUGGCUCAUGAAGCCUGGACAGUAGUAAGGAGCAGUUCAACUAUAGGCUGAGCAAGUGCAUAAUGGUGGUAGAAUGUGCAUUUGGACAUUUAAAAGCUUGCUGGCACAGUUUACUGACUCGGUUAGGCCUCAGCGAAACUAAUAUUCCCAUUGUUAUUACUGCUUGCUGUGUGCUCCACAAUAUCUGUGAGAGUAAGGGGGAGACAAUUAUGGCGGGAUGGGAGGUUGAGGCAAAUCGCCUGGCCACUGAUUACACGCAGCCAGACACCAGGGCGGUUAGAAGAGCACAGUAGGGCGCGCUGUGCAUCAGAAAAGCUUUGAAAACCAGUUUCAUGACUGGCCAGGCUACGGUGUGACAGUUCUGUUUGUUUCUCCUUGAUGAAAACCCGCCCCCUUGGUUCACUCUACUUCCCUGUAAGCCAACCGCCCUCCCCUCCCCCCUUUGAUCUCUGCUUGCAGAGGUAAUAAAGUCAUUGUUGUUUCAAA
This is a long non-coding RNA of Malaclemys terrapin pileata, 1598 nucleotides long. RefSeq lists it as uncharacterized. The record is from RefSeq and is a predicted model, not a curated record. Lineage: Eukaryota; Metazoa; Chordata; Testudines; Emydidae. The transcript has 2 exons.